GGAGAGAUGGAUGAGCGGUUUAAGUCGCACGCCUGGAAAGCGUGUAUAAGUUUAAAAACUUAUCGAGGGUUCAAAUCCCUCUCUCUCCA
Candidatus Profftella armatura is the source of this 89-nucleotide transfer RNA. It matches the Rfam family "tRNA". From Rfam's summary of the family: Transfer RNA (tRNA) molecules are approximately 80 nucleotides in length. The record is from Rfam. Lineage: Bacteria; Pseudomonadati; Pseudomonadota; Betaproteobacteria.